GCCGAGGUGGCGGAACUGGCAGACGCAGGGGACUUAAAAUCCCCCGCCCCGCAGGGGGCAUGCGGGUUCGAGUCCCGCCCUCGGCACCG
This 89-nucleotide transfer RNA is filed under the name Dehalococcoidia bacterium. Its description in RNAcentral is "tRNA-Leu". It matches the Rfam family "tRNA". From Rfam's summary of the family: Transfer RNA (tRNA) molecules are approximately 80 nucleotides in length. Their secondary structure includes four short double-helical elements and three loops (D, anti-codon, and T loops). Further hydrogen bonds mediate the characteristic L-shaped molecular structure. tRNAs have two regions of fundamental functional importance: the anti-codon, which is responsible for specific mRNA codon recognition, and the 3' end, to which the tRNAs corresponding amino acid is attached (by aminoacyl-tRNA synthetases). tRNAs cope with the degeneracy of the genetic code in two manners: having more than one tRNA (with a specific anti-codon) for a particular amino acid; and 'wobble' base-pairing, i.e. permitting non-standard base-pairing at the 3rd anti-codon position. The record is from RNAcentral. Lineage: Bacteria; Bacillati; Chloroflexota; Dehalococcoidia.